AGAGUUUGAUCCUGGCUCAGGACGAACGCUGGCGGCGUGCCUAAAACAUGCAAGUCGAACGGGGAACCUUCGGGUUCUCAGUGGCGAACGGCGGAGUAAUACGUGAGCAAGCUGCCCUGAAGACUGGGAUAUACGGUCGAAAGACCGGGCAAUACCAGAUGUGGCUUCUCUCUCGCAUGGGAGAGAAACUAAACGGUUUUUCGCUUCAGGAGGCGCUCACGGCCUAUCAGGUAGUUGGUGGGGUAAUGGCCUACCAAGCCGACGACGGGUAGCGGGUCUGAGAGGAUGGUCCGCUCGAGAGGGACUGAGACACGGCCCUCACACCUACGGGUGGCAGCAGUUGGGAAUCUUGCACAAUGGGGGAAACCCUGAUGCAGCGACGCCGCGUGGAGGACGAAGGAUCUAGGUCUGUAAACUCCUUUUCUCAGGAAAGACUUAGGACGGUACCUGAGGAAUAAGCACCGGCUAACUACGUGCCAGCAGCCGCGGUAAGACGUAGGGUGCAAGCGUUGUCCGGAUUUACUGGGCGUAAAGGGCGCGUAGGCGGCUUGUUAAGUGUAGAGUGAAAGCUCCGGGCUCAACUCGGAAAUUGCUCUGCAUACUGGCUAGCUAGAGUGUCGCAGAGGUUUGUGGAAUUCCUGGUGUACCGGUGAAAUGGGUUGAUAUCAGGAGGAACACCCAUGGCGAAGGCAGCAAACUGGGCGACAACUGACGCUGAGGCGCGAAAGCGUGGGUAGCAAACAGGAUUAGAUACCCUGGUAGUCCACGCCCUAAACGAUGGAUACUAGGCGUGAGAGGUAUCGACCCCUCUCGUGCCGCAGCCAACGCAUUAAGUAUCCCGCCUGGGGACUACGGCCGCAAGGUUGAAACUCAAAUGAAUUGACGGGGACCCGCACAAGCGGUGGAGCAUGUGGAUUAAUUCGAUACUAACCGAAGAACCUUACCCAGGUUUGACAUCGAGGGAAAGCCUUAGAAAUAGGGCCCUCUCCCACAAGGAGACCCAAAGACAGAUGUUGCAUGGCUGUCGUCAGCUCGUGCCGUGAGGUGUACGGUUAAGUCCGCCAACGAGCGCAACCCUCGUCCUGUGUUACCAUCAGGUAAAGCUGGGCACUCGCAGGAGACCGCCGGUGUAAGCCGGAGGAAGGUGGGGAUGACGUCAAGUCAGCAUGGCUCUUACGCCUGGGGCUUCACACAUGCUACAAUGGGCGCAACAAAGGGCAGCAAAGCCGUGAGGUGGAGCCAAUCCCAAAAAUACGCCCCCAGUUCAGAUUGCAGUCUGCAACUCGACCGCAUGAAGGUGGAAUCGCUAGUAAACGCAGGUCAGCUAUACUGCGUUGAAUACGUUCCCGGGUCUUGUACACACCGCCCGUCAAGUCACCUGAAUUGUCUUCACCCGAAGUCCGUGGCCUAACCCGCAAGGGAAGGAGCGGCCGAAGGUGAGGGGAGUAAGGGGGACUAAGUCGUAACAAGGUAACC
This 1476-nucleotide ribosomal RNA is filed under the name uncultured Pseudonocardiaceae bacterium. RNAcentral describes it as "bacterial SSU rRNA". It matches the Rfam family "Bacterial small subunit ribosomal RNA". The record is from RNAcentral. Lineage: Bacteria; Bacillati; Actinomycetota; Actinomycetes; Pseudonocardiales; Pseudonocardiaceae.